RNAcentral lists this ribosomal RNA (426 nucleotides) under uncultured bacterium. Its description in RNAcentral is "bacterial SSU rRNA". It matches the Rfam family "Bacterial small subunit ribosomal RNA", at positions 917 to 1341 of the family's 1533-position model. The record is from RNAcentral.
GGGCCCGCACAAGUGGUGGAGCAUGUGGUUUAAUUCGAUGCAACGCGAAGAACCUUACCAAUCCUUGAAAUCUAGCGAAGUUCGCAGAGAUGUGAAUGUGCCUUCGGGAACGCUAUGACAGGUGUUGCAUGGCUGUCGUCAGCUCGUGUCGUGAGAUGUAUGGUUAAGUCCAGUAACGAGCGCAACCCCCUAUCCUUAUUUGCCAGCGCGUAAUGGCGGGAACUAUAGGGAGACUGCCGGGUGAAACCCGGAGGAAGGCGGGGACGAGGUCAAGUCAUCAUGGCCCUUAUGGAUUGGGCUACACACGUGCUACAAUGGGAAGUACAGAGGGAUGCGAAAGCGUGAGCUGAAGCCAAACCCUUAAAACUUUUCUUAGUCCGGAUUGGAGUCUGCAACUCGACUCCAUGAAGUCGGAAUCACUAGUAA